UAGGGAAUCUUCGGCAAUGGACGAAAGUCUGACCGAGCAACGCCGCGUGAGUGAAGAAGGUUUUCGGAUCGUAAAACUCUGUUGUUAGAGAAGAACAAGGACGUUAGUAACUGAACGUCCCCUGACGGUAUCUAACCAGAAAGCCACGGCUAACUACGUGCCAGCAGCCGCGGUAAUACGUAGGUGGCAAGCGUUGUCCGGAUUUAUUGGGCGUAAAGCGAGCGCAGGCGGUUUCUUAAGUCUGAUGUGAAAGCCCCCGGCUCAACCGGGGAGGGUCAUUGGAAACUGGGAGACUUGAGUGCAGAAGAGGGGAGUGGAAUUCCAUGUGUAGCGGUGAAAUGCGUAGAUAUAUGGAGGAACACCAGUGGCGAAGGCGGCUCUCUGGUCUGUAACUGACGCUGAGGCUCGAAAGCGUGGGGAGCAAGCAGG
This 429-nucleotide ribosomal RNA is filed under the name Gemmatimonadota bacterium. RNAcentral describes it as "Gemmatimonadetes bacterium partial 16S ribosomal RNA". It matches the Rfam family "Bacterial small subunit ribosomal RNA", at positions 355 to 776 of the family's 1533-position model. The record is from RNAcentral. Lineage: Bacteria; Pseudomonadati; Gemmatimonadota.